RNAcentral lists this ribosomal RNA (110 nucleotides) under uncultured bacterium. RNAcentral's name for it is "partial 16S ribosomal RNA". It matches the Rfam family "Bacterial small subunit ribosomal RNA", at positions 1373 to 1482 of the family's 1533-position model. The record is from RNAcentral.
CCCGGGUCUUGUACACACCGCCCGUCACACCACGAAAGUCGGUAACACCCGAGGCCAGUGGCCCAACCGCAAGGAGGGAGCUGUCGAAGGUGGGAUCGGUGAUUGGGGUG